RNAcentral lists this ribosomal RNA (497 nucleotides) under uncultured bacterium. Its description in RNAcentral is "partial 16S ribosomal RNA". It matches the Rfam family "Bacterial small subunit ribosomal RNA", at positions 28 to 507 of the family's 1533-position model. The record is from RNAcentral.
GAUGAACGCUGGCGGCGUGCCUAAUACAUGCAAGUCGAGCGAACGGACGAGGAGCUUGCUUCUCUGAUGUUAGCGGCGGACGGGUGAGUAACACGUGGAUAACCUACCUAUAAGACUGGGAUAACUUCGGGAAACCGUAGCUAAUACCGGAUAAUCUUUUGAACCGUAUUGUUCAAAAGUGAAAGACGGCCUUGCUGUCUCUUCUAGAUGGAUCCGCGCUGCAUUAGCUAGUUGGUAAGGUAACGGCUUACCAAGGCAACUAUGCAUAGCCGACCUGAGAGGGUGAUCGGCCACACUGGAACUGAGACACGGUCCAGACUCCUACGGGAGGCAGCAGUAGGGAAUCUUCCGCAAUGGGCGAAAGCCUGACGGAGCAACGCCGCGUGAGUGAUGAAGGUCUUCGGAUCGUAAAACUCUGUUAUUAGGGAAGAACAUAUGUGUAAGUAACUGUGCACAUCUUGACGGUACCUAAUCAGAAAGCCACGGCUAACUACGUG